UACGGAGGGGACUAGCGUUGUUCGGAAUUACUGGGCGUAAAGGGCGCGCAGGCGGUUUCGUCAGUCAGAUGUGAAAUCCCCGGGCUUAACCCGGGAACUGCAUUUGAUACUGCGAGACUAGAGUUCGGGAGAGGGUAGUGGAAUUCCCAGUGUAGAGGUGAAAUUCGUAGAUAUUGGGAAGAACACCAGUGGCGAAGGCGGCUACCUGGACCGAUACUGACGCUGAGGUGCGAAAGUGUGGGGAGCAAAC
RNAcentral lists this ribosomal RNA (250 nucleotides) under uncultured bacterium. RNAcentral's name for it is "partial 16S ribosomal RNA". It matches the Rfam family "Bacterial small subunit ribosomal RNA", at positions 524 to 773 of the family's 1533-position model. The record is from RNAcentral.